CAGAGAGAGCGGCGUACGGGUGCGGAACACGUGUGCAACCUGCCUUUAUCAGGGGGAUAGCCUUUCGAAAGGAAGAUUAAUACCCCAUAAUAUAUUGAAUGGCAUCAUUUGAUAUUGAAAACUCCGGUGGAUAGAGAUGGGCACGCGCAAGAUUAGAUAGUUGGUGAGGUAACGGCUCACCAAGUCAGUGAUCUUUAGGGGGCCUGAGAGGGUGAUCCCCCACACUGGUACUGAGACACGGACCAGACUCCUACGGGAGGCAGCAGUGAGGAAUAUUGGACAAUGGGUGAGAGCCUGAUCCAGCCAUCCCGCGUGAAGGACGACGGUUCUAUGGAUUGUAAACUUCUUUUAUACUGGGAUAAACCUACCCUCGUGAGGGUAGCUGAAGGUACAGUAUGAAUAAGCACCGGCUAACUCCGUGCCAGCAGCCGCGGUAAUACGGAGGGUGCAAGCGUUAUCCGGAUUUAUUGGGUUUAAAGGGUCCGUAGGCGGAUCUGUAAGUCAGUGGUGAAAUCUCAUAGCUUAACUAUGAAACUGCCAUUGAUACUGCAGGUCUUGAGUAAAGUAGAAGUGGCUGGAAUAAGUAGUGUAGCGGUGAAAUGCAUAGAUAUUACUUAGAACACCAAUUGCGAAGGCAGGUCACUAUGUUUUAACUGACGCUGAUGGACGAAAGCGUGGGGAGCGAACAGGAUUAGAUACCCUGGUAGUCCACGCCGUAAACGAUGCUAACUCGUUUUUGGGUUUUCGGAUUCAGAGACUAAGCGAAAGUGAUAAGUUAGCCACCUGGGGAGUACGUUCGCAAGAAUGAAACUCAAAGGAAUUGACGGGGGCCCGCACAAGCGGUGGAUUAUGUGGUUUAAUUCGAUGAUACGCGAGGAACCUUACCAAGGCUUAAAUGGGAAUUGACAGGUUUAGAAAUAGACUUUUCUUCGGACAAUUUUCAAGGUGCUGCAUGGUUGUCGUCAGCUCGUGCCGUGAGGUGUUAGGUUAAGUCCUGCAACGAGCGCAACCCCUGUCACUAGUUGCCAUCAUUCAGUUGGGGACUCUAGUGAGACUGCCUACGCAAGUAGAGAGGAAGGUGGGGAUGACGUCAAAUCAUCACGGCCCUUACGCCUUGGGCCACACACGUAAUACAAUGGCCAGUACAGAGGGCAGCUACCAGGCGACUGGAUGCGAAUCUCGAAAGCUGGUCUCAGUUCGGAUUGGAGUCUGCAACUCGACU
RNAcentral lists this ribosomal RNA (1222 nucleotides) under Chryseobacterium piscicola. RNAcentral describes it as "bacterial SSU rRNA". It matches the Rfam family "Bacterial small subunit ribosomal RNA", at positions 87 to 1317 of the family's 1533-position model. Lineage: Bacteria; Pseudomonadati; Bacteroidota; Flavobacteriia; Flavobacteriales; Weeksellaceae. The record is from RNAcentral.